RNAcentral lists this Y RNA (97 nucleotides) under Prolemur simus (greater bamboo lemur). Its description in RNAcentral is "Y RNA (ENSPSMG00000021422.1)". It matches the Rfam family "Y RNA". From Rfam's summary of the family: Y RNAs are components of the Ro ribonucleoprotein particle (Ro RNP), in association with Ro60 and La proteins. The Y RNAs and Ro60 and La proteins are well conserved, but the function of the Ro RNP is not known. In humans the RNA component can be one of four small RNAs -- hY1, hY3, hY4 and hY5. Lineage: Eukaryota; Metazoa; Chordata; Mammalia; Primates; Lemuridae. The record is from Rfam by way of RNAcentral.
GGCUGGUCCGAUGGUAGUGGGUUAUCAGAACUUAUUAACAUUAGUGUCACUAAAGUUGAUAUACAACCUGCCCACUGCUAAAUUUGACUGGCUUUUU